This 84-nucleotide transfer RNA is filed under the name Putridiphycobacter roseus. Its description in RNAcentral is "Crocinitomix sp. SM1701 tRNA-Leu". It matches the Rfam family "tRNA". From Rfam's summary of the family: Transfer RNA (tRNA) molecules are approximately 80 nucleotides in length. Their secondary structure includes four short double-helical elements and three loops (D, anti-codon, and T loops). The record is from RNAcentral. Lineage: Bacteria; Pseudomonadati; Bacteroidota; Flavobacteriia; Flavobacteriales; Crocinitomicaceae.
GCCCGAGUGGCGGAAUUGGUAGACGCGCACGACUCAAACUCGUGUUCCAAAAGAGUGCCGGUUCGAGCCCGGCCUCGGGUACAA